Plodia interpunctella (Indianmeal moth) is the source of this 1999-nucleotide RNA transcript. RefSeq lists it as uncharacterized. NCBI's taxonomy places the organism in Eukaryota, Metazoa, Arthropoda, Insecta, Lepidoptera, Pyralidae. The transcript has 13 exons. The record is from RefSeq and is a predicted model, not a curated record.
CGCGGACCAGUCAGAGUCAGUGAGUGUUGUGUCGUCUGUGUGUGUCCCUGAUGAUGCAGCCGCCCUGUCGCGGGCGAGCCACGCUCGUCCAGAAAUAGGAACAUUAAAGCCAGCAUGGCAACCCAUUCGUCUUCGGAAUCAUGGUCGGGCACGCCCGGCGCCGACGUCGUCGACCUCGACAAGUUCAUGCGCGGCGUGCGCCCGCACCGCCCCGCUCAACGCUACGACAACAGAAACGAGCUGGUGGUGGACAGCGGCGGGCUGUCGCGCAAGCCGCCGAGCUCGAGCUCGAGCGCGCGCUCGCUGCGCGCGCCCGCGCCUGCGCCUGCGCACCACAAGCGCUUCUCGCACGACUCCGGCGUCUCCGACGGCAGCUACGCCAAGAAACGCACGCGGCCGCAUCGGCGGUACAGCGUAGCAGAGAGCGCGGGCAUAAAGGCCAAGCGCGAGUCGGCGACGCGCGCGAGCUCCACCGGCUCCAUGCGCGCCUUCCGCGCCGCGUGCGAGCGCACGCUGCGCGACCAGCAGCGCCAGCUGGCCAGGGUGGCGUUGCUGUGCGAGCGGCUGGGCGAGCGGCGCGAGCGCUCGGAGUCGGAGCGCUCGGAGCCCAGCGAGCUGUCCUCCUCCAGCCGCAGCACGCGCGACCCGCGCCGCAGGGACAAGACCAGGGCCCAAGAAUGCAAAACGUACAAGAUAAUCAUGUCAAAGUUGGACGAGCUGAAUCGCGUGUUCAUGACGCGUCGCUCGCCUCCCGCCCCAGCGCCCGCGCGGCGCCGCGCCCCCUCCUCCGCGUCCGUGUCCGUAUCCAACAAGCUGGUCGCCACGGACGACCACAACGUCGGCAAGCUGAUAGCCCCCAGGCAGAAGGUAACGAAACGAGUGGAGACGGACCGGCAGCUGGUCGAGCGAGCGGUGGGCGAGGCCCCGAGCGAGCGGCACGAGCGAAACGACCGCUCCGCUCGCCUCGCCAACCUGCAAGCGGUGAAGAACGCUUAUUUGUUAGAUAUAGCGCCGCAGGAGGCGGUCUGCAAGAUAUACCCCAAUAUUGCUACUGAAAGUGUGGUGAAGCGAGGGUCCAGUAACGAAGGGUCGCGGACGAGUCUCAAUGUCAGUGGUUUCGAUGUUGAUAACCAUAUGCAGUUAUACGCGCAAGCGGCGCGUCUUCAAGCACUACAUAUGACGUCGCGGCGCGCGCGCAGUUCGGAGCCCGCGCCGUCGUUCCCGCGGAGUGCGAGGGGCGCGGGCGCGGGCGCGGGGGCGGGGGCGGGGGCGGGGGAGUGGCAGGGGGCGGGACGUAAGGCUGGAGGCGUGUCGCUGUGCGGGCUGUGCAAGCAGUACUGGCAGUCGCUGCGCGGGUACCUGGCUGCGCAGAAUUCCAUCAAGAAGUGUCUGGCCGAAAGCCGUCAAAUUAGCGACGAAAAAACCCAGUAUGACGUGACAGCAAGUCAGAAGCAGAACAAAAGAAAUUUUCGGCAUGAACUCGGCAAAAUUAUGUGUGAAUUAACGAACAUCAUGUAGGGAGGACGCGCUCUCCGCAGGCCACGAACGAAUAUGAAUUACUCUCGGUCCGGUAUCUGGUGGCUCAUUUGCCUCCUCAUACAAGUGGUUGGUGCUCUCGGCUGCAAAAAGAAGCCUCGCUGUCGGCCGCCGCGUUGCCCGGGCGGCUGCAGACCCAGAUACUGGUGAUUUAAGAAGACCUUCGGCGCUGCCGCAUGAAAGAUAUCAAGUCAUAAAUAAAUAUUAUGUGGCAGUGGACGGAGCUGGUGUGGGUGCUCUGGUUUGUGUUGUUGUCGGCGGCCGGCGCCGACGGCUGCAAGAAGAAGACCAUCUGCCGACCGCCGCCGGGGGGCAAGCCUGGCUGCGGGGGCAGGGGGCGCUGAUCGUUGUCGGACUAGACCAAGUUGCAGUUCCCCGGACCAGCUAAUUCAGCUACAUGGGAGUGGAAAUGUACAUAUAAAAGUCAAUAACGUGAAAAUGUACAAAUAAAACAUGGCAUAAU